GCCAAGGACCACUGCAAUUGGAAUGCUUUCUGAAAUCAAAGGAGCCCCAUCAAGGAUGCAUCUAACAUGCUCUCCACUCAAAAAAAGAAGUGAGAUCCCAAGGAGGAAAGAUUCCUCUUGUAACUGUAGCCAAGGCAGCCAGCCUCUCCAUACUGCUCCAUCUGUGCUACAAGUGAAUUGCCUAUCUUCUUAAUAAUGCAACUGGAAAUCUAUGUGAAGCAG
Pogoniulus pusillus (Red-fronted tinkerbird) is the source of this 222-nucleotide long non-coding RNA. RefSeq lists it as uncharacterized. NCBI's taxonomy places the organism in Eukaryota, Metazoa, Chordata, Aves, Piciformes, Lybiidae. The transcript has 3 exons. The record is from RefSeq and is a predicted model, not a curated record.